Molecule: ribosomal RNA, 253 nt
Filed under: uncultured prokaryote
Description: partial 16S ribosomal RNA
Rfam family: Bacterial small subunit ribosomal RNA
Source: RNAcentral
ACGUAGGGGGCAAGCGUUGUCCGGAAUCAUUGGGCGUAAAGCGCGUGUAGGCGGCCGUGCAAGUCGGGUGUGAAAGCCCUCGGCUCAACCGAGGAAGUGCGCCCGAAACUGCAGAGCUUGAGUACCGGAGAGGGUGGCGGAAUUCCCCAAGUAGAGGUGAAAUUCGUAGAUAUGGGGAGGAACACCGGUGGCGAAGGCGGCCACCUGGACGGUCACUGACGCUGAGACGCGAAAGCGUGGGUAGCAAACAGGA